GAGAGAGAGAGAGAGAGAGGGAGACCAAGUGAAUGCUGCAUUGAUUCCUUUUAAGUACUUCCAUUCAAAUGUUUCUUUUGUUAAAUAUUCUCCAAGUGUCAUAGCAUAGUUCAAAAUUUUUGCAUAGCUGGGAUGCUGUUAAUGCAAUCUGUGAGGUUCUGGCUUCACUUUUGUCUAUUUGUAAUAUGUGAUGCAAUAAUACAAUAGCAGUGUACCAUGAGUUCUGAUCAUUGAUUGUGUUUUGAUAUUGAGCAGGCCA
This 259-nucleotide unclassified non-coding RNA is filed under the name Hevea brasiliensis (rubber tree). Lineage: Eukaryota; Viridiplantae; Streptophyta; Magnoliopsida; Malpighiales; Euphorbiaceae. The record is from RNAcentral.